UCAGGACGAACGCUGGCGGCGUGCCUAACACAUGCAAGUCGAGCGAGGAGAUCCUUCGGGAUGAUCCUAGCGGCGGACGGGUGAGUAACGACGUGGGCAACCUGCCUCAUAGAGAGGAAUAGCCUUCCGAAAGGGAGAUUAAUACCUCAUAACAUUGCAGUUUCGCAUGGAACAGCAAUUAAAGGAGUAAUACCGCUAUGAGGAUGGGCCCGCGGCGCAUUAGCUAGUUGGUGAGGUAACGGCUCACCAAGGCGACGAUGCGUAGCCGACCUGAGAGGGUGAUCGGCCACAUUGGGACUGAGACACGGCCCAGACUCCUACGGGAGGCAGCAGUGGGGAAUAUUGCACAAUGGGGGAAACCCUGAUGCCAGCAACGCCGCGUGAGUGAUGACGGCCUUCGGGUUGUAAAGCUCUGUCUUCAGGGAACGAUAAUGACGGUACCUGAGGAGGAAGCCACGGCUAACUACGUGCCAGCCGCCGC
Molecule: ribosomal RNA, 481 nt
Filed under: uncultured bacterium
Lineage: Bacteria
Description: bacterial SSU rRNA
Rfam family: Bacterial small subunit ribosomal RNA
Source: RNAcentral